This is a long non-coding RNA of Larimichthys crocea (large yellow croaker), 153 nucleotides long. RefSeq lists it as uncharacterized. NCBI's taxonomy places the organism in Eukaryota, Metazoa, Chordata, Actinopteri, Sciaenidae. The record is from RefSeq and is a predicted model, not a curated record. The transcript has 3 exons.
UUGCUGAUUUGGACGGAUGGCCUUCCACGUUUAACAGACGACAGAGAUAGAAGAUGACAUUGAGGUUCCACCCUUAACAAGAACAGACAGCGUAUUUCUGACCAAAGAAAUGCUUGAGUACCACGAAGAUUGGUUUCACUUUCCACUAACGGC